This is a long non-coding RNA of Toxotes jaculatrix (banded archerfish), 974 nucleotides long. RefSeq lists it as uncharacterized. The record is from RefSeq and is a predicted model, not a curated record. The transcript has 3 exons. Lineage: Eukaryota; Metazoa; Chordata; Actinopteri; Toxotidae.
CGUGCGUGCACGGAGAGCAGAGGAGCAGUGAAUACACACCUAUGUCUGGUCUGCAGAUGGUGAGGUAGCGGUCGAUGGCCACCACAGUCAACAAGCCGAUACUGGCCAUGCCGAAGAAGAUGUUGAGAGCAGCAUAGAUCUGGAGACAAGAACACAGAAAUGCCGACCAUCUCGUCUGACAGCUCUGCAGCCUGACCCCGACGCAGCAUCUCCAUGCCAACCUCCAACCAGAGCCACAGCUCCAGGGCCACAUGAUUGAAGGCCCUCACAUUCCACCCACCUGACAACCAGUGUAGCCAAACUUCCAGCUCCCGUGGAUGUCUGAGGCGGCUGACAUGGGAUAUCCGAUCCCGGCCACCCCAAUGUCAGUAAAAGCCAGGUUGAUUAUAAUGAAGUUGGUGGCAGUGCGGAGCUCCUUGAACUUCACAAACAUGAGCAGCACCACAAUGUUGCUUGCUAGACUGAUGACGCCUGAGAAAAGGAGAGAAGACGUGAAGUACAGAGUCCUGAUCCCAUAUUUAUUCGGAACAUGAGGCACAGUGGAUGAGGCGUAAAGCAAAUGGAGGUUUUAAGGUGAAAUUCUGCUCGUUCUGCUUUUUCUCAAUUGUAGAAUAGAACUUUGUAAGUGAAAAGAAAUCUCAAAAGUUAAAGUGAAUGUCUUAACCUCUGUCUUAACUACAGUGGAUUUAGUGAGAAAUGGAGUAAUGUGCUCACUGCAGUAAACAAUGAUCCAACAGCCAUGGCUCUAACAGACAGUCAGUGUUGGUACAGAUUUCCUGCUGAGCAUAGCAUCAAGGCUGUCCUGUCUCUGCUUGUUUGUCUCAAAAGAAUUACACAAGACUUUCCACUAUGUGGCUGGAUGAUUUGUUUGUUUUUGCUUAUGUUUAUAAUAUUCUUUCCUUUUCAUUUGUUUUUUGUAUUCUUUUUUUCUCAUUCUUUUUCCGUCAGUUGUAAUAAUUCACGUGUUCUCCAUU